RNAcentral lists this ribosomal RNA (305 nucleotides) under uncultured bacterium. Its description in RNAcentral is "bacterial SSU rRNA". It matches the Rfam family "Bacterial small subunit ribosomal RNA", at positions 332 to 656 of the family's 1533-position model. The record is from RNAcentral.
UUGACCUACGGGGGGCAGCAGUGGGGAAUAUUGCACAAUGGGGGAAACCCUGAUGCAGCGACGCCGCGUGAGUGAAGAAGUAUUUCGGUAUGUAAAGCUCUAUCAGCAGGGAAGAUAAUGACGGUACCUGACUAAGAAGCUCCGGCUAACUACGUGCCAGCAGCCGCGGUAAUACGUAGGGAGCAAGCGUUAUCCGGAUUUAUUGGGUGUAAAGGGUGCGUAGACGGGAAAUUAAGUUAGUUGUGAAAUCCCUCGGCUCAACUGAGGAACUGCAACUAAAACUGAUUUUCUUGAGUGCAGGAGAG